RNAcentral lists this ribosomal RNA (293 nucleotides) under uncultured bacterium. Its description in RNAcentral is "partial 16S ribosomal RNA". It matches the Rfam family "Bacterial small subunit ribosomal RNA", at positions 1 to 267 of the family's 1533-position model. The record is from RNAcentral.
UUGGGAGAGUUUGAUCCUGGCUCAGGAUGAACGCGGCCGGUGAAGCUGAUACAUGCAAGUCGAACGAGUUCUGAUUAUUGAAAGGUGCUUGCAUCUUGAUUUAAUUUUGAACGAGUGGCGGACGGGUGAGUAACACGUGGGUAACCUGCCCUUAAGUGGGGGAUAACAUUUGGAAACAGAUGCUAAUACCGCAUAAAUCCAAGAACCGCAUGGUUCUUGGCUGAAAGAUGGCGUAAGCUAUCGCUUUUGGAUGGACCCGCGGCGUAUUAGCUAGUUGGUGAGGUAACGGCUCA